UACGUAGGGUGCAAGCGUUGUCCGGAAUUAUUGGGCGUAAAGAGCUCGUAGGCGGUCUGUCGCGUCUGCUGUGAAAACCUGGGGCUUAACCCCGGGCCUGCAGUGGGUACGGGCAGACUAGAGUGCGGUAGGGGAGACUGGAAUUCCUGGUGUAGCGGUGAAAUGCGCAGAUAUCAGGAGGAACACCGGUGGCGAAGGCGGUUCUCUGGGCAUGUCCUGACGCUGAGGAGCGAAAGUGUGGGGAGCGAACAGG
RNAcentral lists this ribosomal RNA (253 nucleotides) under uncultured bacterium. RNAcentral's name for it is "partial 16S ribosomal RNA". It matches the Rfam family "Bacterial small subunit ribosomal RNA", at positions 524 to 776 of the family's 1533-position model. The record is from RNAcentral.